GACGAACGCUGGCGGCGUGCUUAACACAUGCAAGUCGAGCGGUAAGGCCUCUUCGGGGGUACACGAGCGGCGAACGGGUGAGUAACACGUGGGUGACCUGCCCUCAGCUCUGGGAUAAGCCUGGGAAACUGGGUCUAAUACCGGAUAUGACCUGUGGUUGCAUGAUCAUGGGUGGAAAGUUGCAGUGACUUUGUUACUGUUUCGGCUGGGGAGUGGGCCCGCGGCCUAUCAGCUUGUUGGUGGGGUGAUGGCCUACCAAGGCGACGACGGGUAGGCCGGCCUGAGAGGGCGACCGGCCACACUGGGACUGAGACACGGCCCAGACUCCUACGGGAGGCAGCAGUGGGAAUCUUGCGCAAUGGGCGAAAGCCUGACGCAGCGACGCCGCGUGAGGGAUGACGGCCUGG
Molecule: ribosomal RNA, 407 nt
Filed under: uncultured bacterium
Lineage: Bacteria
Description: bacterial SSU rRNA
Rfam family: Bacterial small subunit ribosomal RNA
Source: RNAcentral